GGCCCAGAAACCCCGCCGCUACCCGCUGAACUUAAGCAUAUCAAUAAGCGGAGGAAAAGAAACCAACAGGGAUUGCCUCAGUAACGGCGAGUGAAGCGGCAAAAGCUCAAAUUUGAAAUCUAGCACUUUCAGUGUUCGAGUUGUAAUUUGAAGAAGGUAACUUUGGUUUUGGCUCUGUCUAUGUUCCUUGGAACAGGACGUCACAGAGGGUGAGAAUCCCGUGCGAUGAGAUGCCCAAUUCCAUGUAAAGUGCUUUCGAAGAGUCGAGUUGUUUGGGAAUGCAGCUCUAAGUGGGUGGUAAAUUCCAUCUAAAGCUAAAUAUUGGCGAGAGACCGAUAGCGAACAAGUACAGUGAUGGAAAGAUGAAAAGAACUUUGAAAAGAGAGUGAAAAAGUACGUGAAAUUGUUGAAAGGGAAGGGCUUGAGAUCAGACUUGGUAUUUUGCGUUCCCUUCCUUUUUGGUUGGGUUCCUCGCAGUUUACUGGGCCAGCAUCGGUUUGGAUGGUAGGAUAAUGACAUUGGAAUGUAGCUUUACUUCGGUGAAGUGUUAUAGACUUUGUUGAUACUGCCUAUCUAGACCGAGGACUGCGUCUU
This 594-nucleotide ribosomal RNA is filed under the name Dujonia zeylanoides. RNAcentral describes it as "eukaryotic LSU rRNA". It matches the Rfam family "Eukaryotic large subunit ribosomal RNA", at positions 1 to 603 of the family's 3401-position model. The record is from RNAcentral. Lineage: Eukaryota; Fungi; Ascomycota; Pichiomycetes; Serinales; Debaryomycetaceae.